AGCGAACGCUGGCGGCAGGCCUAACACAUGCAAGUCGAACGCGUGUAGCAAUACACGAGUGGCAGACGGGUGAGUAACACGUGGGAACGUGCCCUUCGGUUCGGAAUAACUCAGGGAAACUUGAGCUAAUACCGGAUACGCCCUUACGGGGAAAGAUUUAUCGCCGAUGGAUCGGCCCGCGUCUGAUUAGCUAGUUGGUGAGGUAACGGCUCACCAAGGCGACGAUCAGAGCUGGUCUGAGAGGAUGAUCAGCCACACUGGGACUGAGACACGGCCCAGACUCCUACGGGAGGCAGCAGUGGGGAAUAUUGGACAAUGGGGAAACCCUGAUCCAGCCAUGCCGCGUGAGUGAUGAAGGCCCUAGGGUU
This 368-nucleotide ribosomal RNA is filed under the name uncultured bacterium. RNAcentral's name for it is "bacterial SSU rRNA". It matches the Rfam family "Bacterial small subunit ribosomal RNA", at positions 29 to 424 of the family's 1533-position model. The record is from RNAcentral.